CGAAGGGGGCUAGCGUUGUUCGGAUUUACUGGGCGUAAAGCGCACGUAGGCGGAUCGUUAAGUCGGGGGUGAAAUCCUGGAGCUCAACUCCAGAACUGCCUUCGAUACUGGCGAUCUUGAGUCCGGAAGAGGUGAGUGGAACUCCUAGUGUAGAGGUGGAAUUCGUAGAUAUUAGGAAGAACACCAGUGGCGAAGGCGGCUCACUGGUCCGGUACUGACGCUGAGGUGCGAAAGCGUGGGGAGCAAACAGGGUUAGAUACCCUGGUAGUCCACGCCGUAAACUAUGAGAGCUAGCCGUUGGAGGGUUUACCCUUCAGUGGCGCAGCUAACGCAUUAAGCUCUCCGCCUGGGGAGUACGGUCGCAAGAUUA
This 370-nucleotide ribosomal RNA is filed under the name uncultured organism. Its description in RNAcentral is "bacterial SSU rRNA". It matches the Rfam family "Bacterial small subunit ribosomal RNA", at positions 526 to 896 of the family's 1533-position model. The record is from RNAcentral.